UACGGGGGGAGCAAGCGUUGUUCGGAUUUACUGGGCGUAAAGGGCGCGUAGGCGGCGCAACAAGUCACUUGUGAAAUCUCCGGGCUUAACUCGGAGCGGCCAAGUGAUACUGUCGUGCUAGAGUGCGGAAGGGGCUACUGGAAUUCUCGGUGUAGCGGUGAAAUGCGUAGAUAUGCGGAGGAACACCGAUGGCGAAGGCAAUCCCCUGGACCUGUACUGACGCUCAUGCACGAAAGCGUGGGGAGCAAACAGG
RNAcentral lists this ribosomal RNA (253 nucleotides) under uncultured bacterium. RNAcentral describes it as "partial 16S ribosomal RNA". It matches the Rfam family "Bacterial small subunit ribosomal RNA", at positions 524 to 776 of the family's 1533-position model. The record is from RNAcentral.